This 74-nucleotide transfer RNA is filed under the name Rtpvirus Rtp. RNAcentral's name for it is "Enterobacteria phage RTP tRNA". It matches the Rfam family "tRNA". Rfam says of the family: Transfer RNA (tRNA) molecules are approximately 80 nucleotides in length. Their secondary structure includes four short double-helical elements and three loops (D, anti-codon, and T loops). Further hydrogen bonds mediate the characteristic L-shaped molecular structure. tRNAs have two regions of fundamental functional importance: the anti-codon, which is responsible for specific mRNA codon recognition, and the 3' end, to which the tRNAs corresponding amino acid is attached (by aminoacyl-tRNA synthetases). tRNAs cope with the degeneracy of the genetic code in two manners: having more than one tRNA (with a specific anti-codon) for a particular amino acid; and 'wobble' base-pairing, i.e. permitting non-standard base-pairing at the 3rd anti-codon position. The record is from Rfam by way of RNAcentral. Lineage: Duplodnaviria; Heunggongvirae; Uroviricota; Caudoviricetes; Drexlerviridae.
GCCCCGCUAGCUCAAUUGGAUAGAGCAACGACCUUCUAAGUCGUAGGUUACUGGUUCGAAUCCAGUGCGGAGCG